UGAGGGCUGCUGGCUGAGCGCCGGCGGGGCGCGACGCAGGGCUCUCCUCGAGGCCGGGGCCUUCAGGGGCCUCCCGAGUCAGCCAGGCCUCGUGUGUCGUCACCAGGUGCAAACGUAUUCAUCCACACAAACCAGUACGAUAAUUUAACUCGUCGAAACGGACGCAAUGAUCGUCCCUUUGACAGCCUCUGUGUUCAUCGCGACAACAGCAGAGCUGCCGCGUGCGAUGGCUGUAUGUUCUUGGGAGCUUGCCCGCGUAAUUCCUGUGCAUGAACUUGUUCGUGAGCCCCAUCACGUUUCCCUGGUGCCAGAGCCGCAUGAUUACUUCUGCCGUGUUCGUCCGGCACUGAAAGGAAUCACCUCAGUGACACUCUGGAGAAAUCUGUAUUCAUUAAGAUAACCUGAUAAGCCUUCUGGACACAAUAUUCAGCUGAGUUUGGGAAUAAUACCGAAGCACAGAUGUUCUCCUCCAGCUCUGGGCUUCUCACGGCAGUGUUGAAGAAGGCAGAGAACAUCCAACCAGGCUGAGUGUCGGUUGCCUCUCCCAGGGAGACCUGUGAAGUAGCAAACGGGCAAAAAGGAAUACUAAACUGAUCAUAGAAAAGUGUGAAUCAUACAUUUCCCUUCUUUAAUAAAGAAAAGCUCUCUUGGCUGAAGAAAUGAAGGAAUUAAUAAACUGCAGAUGUGAAACCAACAAUUCAGAAGGCGUGCUUACAUGCAGGAUUGAGUAGAUAGCCAUUUUCCAAAAGCGGUUGAUGCAGAUUAUAAAUGAAGGCCAAAAGGGACCAUCAGCUUAUCUAGCGCAAGCCUAUCUACCUAGCAGCCUGUGACCUACACCCAGCUUGCUGGAGAGUUCUGACUGGCUCCCCAAAUAGUUUUGAAAGCUGCUUAGUGCACUCAAACACACCCAGAUCUCCCACCGCAUUGUCCCACAUCAGGAUCAAAUGAUUCACCCAGGGAGAUGCAGAAUUCAGAUAGCUACAAUGUGGCCUUUUCUGGUCUCUUCUACUAAAACAAGUCUUAUGAAAUCAACUGCUCAUUCCUGUAGUGACGUCAAUCAUUUGCAAGAAAUCUCUGUAUCAGACAACUCGGCAUGUCUCCAUUGCACAAUGACUUGUUCUGUGCAUGAAAGGGCUUUACUGUCAUGCCUAGCGCAAGCCAGAUGUCCGCUAUUACGCAGCAGAAGAACAUUUCUGUAGAGCCCCCUCUAGUAGGUACCCCUAGUGAAACAAUACCAGUGACUGUUUAUAAAGUCUUAAAGGAAAAUAAAUACGGGUUGUGUCUC
This is a long non-coding RNA of Aptenodytes forsteri (emperor penguin), 1285 nucleotides long. RefSeq lists it as uncharacterized. The transcript is spliced from 2 exons. Lineage: Eukaryota; Metazoa; Chordata; Aves; Sphenisciformes; Spheniscidae. The record is from RefSeq and is a predicted model, not a curated record.